GUUCAGUUCACAUCCCACCAUUCAAGCCUGGAUCAGGCCUCAAAACAGCUUCCUGACUCACGUAUCAUAAAAUAGAUUCAUUCCAUUUUUCAUCAGGGUGGGAAGACCCAGCCUGUAUCCCUAAUCAGGCGCAAGAAGUUCUCAAGCUGCACAGGUGAUAAGGGGCCACAAUUACCUGAGAUGUCAGGUGAUCAAAUUUGGCCUACAGUGGGCAGGUGAGAAAAUGACCUGGCUCCCAGGCCUGAUCUGGACCCCUAGCCUUGUUAUAAAGCAGGGGGUGCAAGGAGAAUUAAGCUGAUAGGACACAAGGACAUAAGUGCCCACUCCCCACCAUAUUGACUGAUGACAUCUGGAAGUAUAAAUGCGUCUCGUGGCUGUAACAUGUCGGGAGACAAUGGAUGAGUGUGCUUUUGGGGUGAAGUCAAACUAUCGGAAGGUUACAAUGCCUGUUGUGGCUAUAGAGACCAAUACAGGAGAGACAUGUUUUGUUGCAGCUGAGGCAGAUGCACCAUGGGGUUUUCUUCUCUCUGCAGUCCUCCCAGCAGUUAUUCCUCCUCUGGAUCACUGCUGUGGUUACACGACCUGACUGUCUGUCUCCAAAUUAGGUAGGUGUGGUCCCCCGUCCCCCCCAUGAUUGCUUACUCCUUUGUACAAAAAUAAAAUGCAAAGUCUUUGCCUUGAACAGUUGAACUCACCAAAACCCGCUCUGGAAACUUGUGGUUAUUCCCAUUUUACAGACAGGAAAAACAAGGCCGGAACAAUAAAUGGGCCUCCAGCAUUCAGCACUGUCAGAAUAAUCGGCACAUCAGGGAGAAAGUUAGGGCUGAGCAUGCAAGUUUUUCCUACGUACAGGGUUUUUCUUUCUCAUUUAGCCUCCCGCCCCGCAGUGUGACAUGAUACAGCCUCAACACAGGUCCAAAGGCAGCACUGAUGCACAAUGAUCUCACUUACGAAGGCAGCCUGUGCGAAACAGGAGAGCUGUGCCCCUCCUGGCACUGAGUGGAAUUGCACUACAUGACACACUCCAUCUUUUUCACACCUUGCAUCCUAUGGCUGGCAGAAGCCCAUCUGGGCUGGAUCUGUUGGCAAGAUCUCCAGCAAGCAGAUCUGUCUCUCAGCUGUUUAAUUGAAAUACUUCAUUGUCACUUGUACAACUUGUAUACGGUGAGAUUACACAAGCACCCCCCACUCAGCUCUCUUAGUCUUAAUUCCCCUCGUUUACUGACGUACACCCACCAAACCUGAAAGUCAGUUGCCCUGUUGUUAUCUUUUCAUUCAGCAGCCUAACAGCCCACAGACAGAAGCUGUUCUUUACCCUGUUGGUGCGACUAAUCAUGCGGCCAGGGUGUGAAUCAUCCCUGAGAAUUUCCGUCACUCUCCUGAGGCAACAUUCUUCCGCUAUUUCAUGCAGCGGAUUCACUGGCAGCCCAUAAUAUCUUGUGCUGUAUUCAUCACCCUCUGUAGGCACUUCCUAUCAGAUGAUGUCAAACCAGCGUACCACACCGUGAUGCAGUAUUAAAGGACACUUUCUGUUCUUGACCAGUAGAAGGAGAUCAUCAAAUGUUGAUUGACAUCGUUCUUUCGCAAUAUUCUGAGGAGAUGGAGUCUCUGUUGGGCUUUCUUAACCAUCUGGGUUGUAUUGAUUUUCCAAGUAAGGUCUUCACUGAGAUAAACUCCUAGGAAUUUAAAGGAAGAGACUCUUAAUGAUAGCAGCUGCAAAAUAAUUACCACCUCCCCCCCCCCCGCCUGCAUUAUGUUGCUGCAUUGCAGAAAGCUUAGGGUAGUUUAAGGAUUAGACAACUUCACAGAAUCAUAAAGCUGGAAGGAAUCCCCAGGGUCAUCUAGUCCAACCCCUUGAAAUGCAGGAAUUCUGCCCACAGCUGUCCCAGGUGGGCUCAAACCGCCAACCUUCUAGUUAACAGCCAAGUGCACUGACCCAUUGUGCCACUGGGGGAAGGAGGCAGGUAGCAAUAGGUACCAGCUAACAUGUGGCGCUGUGGGUUAAACCAAAGAGCCUGAGCUCCCGUUGCUUGGUCCCUGCUCCUGCCAACCUAGCAGUUCGAAAGCACGUCAAAGUGCAAGUAGAUAAAUAGGUACCGCUCUGGCGGGAAGGGAAACAGCGUUUCUGUGUGCUGCCCUGGUUCGCCAGAAGCGGCUUAGUCAUGCUGGCCACAUGACCCGGAAGCUGUAUGCUGGCUCCCUCGGCCAAUAAAACGAGAUGAGCGCCGAAACCCCAGAGUCAUCCGUGACUGGACCUAAUGGUCAGGGGUCCAUUUACCUUUAACAUGGCUAUGUUCUCUCUCCACUGUUGUGAGCCUGUAGGCCUCUGAAUUAGUGAUGUAUGGAAGUGAGAGCUGGAAGUGAGAGCUAGACCAUAAAGAAGACUGAUCGCCGAAGAAUUGAUGCUUUUGAAUUAUGGUGCUGGAGGAGACUCUUGAGAGUCCCAUGGGCUGCAAGAAGAUCAAACCUAGCCAUCCUUAAGGAAAUCAGCCCUGAGUGCUCACUGGAAGGACAGAUCCUGAAACUGAGACUCCAAUACUUUGGCCACCUCAUGAGAAGAGAAGACUCCCUGGAAAAGACCCUGAUUCAGGGAAAGAUGGAGGGCACAAGGAGAAGGGGACGACAGAGGACGAGAUGGUUGGACAGUGUUCUCGAAGCUACCAGCGUGAGUUUGACUAAACUGCAGGAGGCAGUGGAAGACAGGAGUGCCUGGUAUGCUCUGGUCCAUGGGGUCACGAAGAGUCGGACAUGACUAAACGACUAAACAACAACAACAACAAGGCCUCUGAAUGCCAGUUGCUGGAAGCCACAGUUGGGGAGAGUGGUUCUUGUGCUCAGGUCCUGCUUGCGGGCAUCUGGUUGGCCACUGUGAGAACAGGAUGCAGAUAGGCCCCUUUGGGCUGAUUCAUCUGCAGCAGCCUUUCUCAACCUGUGGGCCCCCAGAUGUUGUUGAACUACAACUCCCACCAGAUGUUGUUGAACUACAACUCCCAUCACCCCUAGCUAGCAAGGCCA
RNAcentral lists this long non-coding RNA (3015 nucleotides) under Podarcis lilfordi (Lilford's wall lizard). The record is from RNAcentral. Lineage: Eukaryota; Metazoa; Chordata; Lepidosauria; Squamata; Lacertidae.